Molecule: ribosomal RNA, 468 nt
Filed under: uncultured bacterium
Lineage: Bacteria
Description: partial 16S ribosomal RNA
Rfam family: Bacterial small subunit ribosomal RNA
Source: RNAcentral
GACGAACGCUGGCGGCGUGCUUAACACAUGCAAGUCGAACGGCAAGGCCCUGCUUUUGUGGGGUGCUCGAGUGGCGAACGGGUGAGUAACACGUGAGUAACCUGCCCUUGACUUUGGGAUAACUUCAGGAAACUGGGGCUAAUACAGGAUAGGAGCUCCUGCUGCAUGGUGGGGGUUGGAAAGUUUCGGCGGUUGGGGAUGGACUCGCGGCUUAUCAGCUUGUUGGUGGGGUAGUGGCUUACCAAGGCUUUGACGGGUAGCCGGCCUGAGAGGGUGACCGGCCACAUUGGUACUGAGAGACGGCCCAGACUCCUACGUGAGGCAGCAGUGGGGAAUAUUGCACAAUGGGCGGAAGCCUGAUGCAGCAACGCCGCGUUCGUGAUGACGGCCUUCGGGUUGUAAACCGCUUUCGCCUGUGACGAAGCGUGAGUGACGGUAAUGGGUAAAGAAGCACCGGCUAACUACGUG